AGCAGCCGCGGUAAUUCCAGCUCCAAUAGCGUAUAUUAAAGUUGUUGCAGUUAAAAAAGCUCGUAGUUGAAUUUCGGGAUCAAAUUGUCGGUCGUGCCUCGGUACGUACUGGUAUUAUUGGUUCCUCCCUUCUGACGAACCACGAUGUCAUUAAUUUGGUGUCAUGGGAAAUCAGGACUGUUACUUUGAAAAAAUUAGAGUGUUUAAAGCAGGCUCGCGCUUGAAUACAUUAGCAUGGAAUAAUGAAAUAGGACGUUUGAUUCUAUUUUGUUGGUUUCUAGGAUCGACGUAAUGAUUAAUAGGGAUAGUUGGGGGCAUUAGUAUUCAAUUGUCAGAGGUGAAAUUCUUGGAUUUAUUGAAGACUAACUACUGCGAAAGCAUUUGCCGAGGAUGUUUUCAUUAAUCAAGAACGAAAGUUAGGGGAUCGAAGACGACCAGAUACCGUCGUAGUCUUAACCAUAAACUAUGCCGACUAGGGAUCGGAUGAUGUUAAUUUUUUAAUGACUCAUUCGGCGCCUUA
RNAcentral lists this ribosomal RNA (520 nucleotides) under uncultured Glomus. RNAcentral's name for it is "SSU rRNA". It matches the Rfam family "Eukaryotic small subunit ribosomal RNA", at positions 569 to 1090 of the family's 1831-position model. The record is from RNAcentral. Lineage: Eukaryota; Fungi; Glomeromycota; Glomeromycetes; Glomerales; Glomeraceae.